RNAcentral lists this ribosomal RNA (112 nucleotides) under Brevibacillus brevis. RNAcentral's name for it is "partial 16S ribosomal RNA". It matches the Rfam family "Bacterial small subunit ribosomal RNA", at positions 1 to 121 of the family's 1533-position model. Lineage: Bacteria; Bacillati; Bacillota; Bacilli; Caryophanales; Paenibacillaceae. The record is from RNAcentral.
UUAUUGGAGAGUUUGAUCCUGGCUCAGGACGAACGCUGGCGGCGUGCCUAAUACAUGCAAGUCGAGCGAGUCUCUUCGGAGGCUAGCGGCGGACGGGUGAGUAACACGUAGG